GCGCACGUGGCGGAAUUGGUAGACGCGCUGGCUUGAGGGGCCAGUAUCCGUUUUAGGAUGUGGAAGUUCGAAUCUUCUCGUGCGCACAA
Molecule: transfer RNA, 89 nt
Filed under: Flavivirga aquatica
Lineage: Bacteria; Pseudomonadati; Bacteroidota; Flavobacteriia; Flavobacteriales; Flavobacteriaceae
Description: Algibacter aquaticus tRNA-Leu
Rfam family: tRNA
About the family: Transfer RNA (tRNA) molecules are approximately 80 nucleotides in length. Their secondary structure includes four short double-helical elements and three loops (D, anti-codon, and T loops).
Source: RNAcentral